GAUGAACGCUGACAGAAUGCUUAACACAUGCAAGUCGAUUCGAUUUACCUUCGGGUAUUGAGGAUGGCGGACGGGUGAGUAACGCGUAAGGAACUUGCCUCUUGGUCUGGGACAACUGUUGGAAACGACAGCUAAUACCGGAUAUUAUGAGAUUCUCGCAUGGGAAACUUAUGAAAGCUAUAUGCGCCAAGAGAGAGCCUUGCGUUCCAUUAGCUAGUUGGUGGGGUAACGGCCCACCAAGGCGACGAUGGAUAGCCGGCCUGAGAGGGUGAACGGCCACAAGGGGACUGAGACACGGCCCUUACUCCUACGGGAGGCAGCAGUGGGGAAUAUUGGANNAUGGGNNNNAAGCCUGAUCCAGCAAUUCUGUGUGCACGAUGAAGGUCUUCGGAUUGUAAAGUGCUUUCAGUUGGGAAGAAGAAAGUGACGGUACCAACAGAAGAAGCGACGGCUAAAUACGUGCCAGCAGCCGCGGUAAUACGUAUGUCGCAAGCGUUAUCCGGAUUUAUUGGGCGUAAAGCGCGUCUAGGCGGAAAAAUAAGUCUGAUGUUAAAAUGCGGGGCUCAACUCCGUAUUGCGUUGGAAACUGUUUUUCUAGAGUACUGGAGAGGUGGGCGGAACUACAAGUGUAGAGGUGAAANUCGUAGAU
This 649-nucleotide ribosomal RNA is filed under the name uncultured prokaryote. RNAcentral describes it as "bacterial SSU rRNA". It matches the Rfam family "Bacterial small subunit ribosomal RNA", at positions 28 to 695 of the family's 1533-position model. The record is from RNAcentral.